GACGAACGCUGGCGGCGUGCUUAACACAUGCAAGUCGAACGGUGAUCUUGAGAGCUUGCUCUUGGGUGAUCAGUGGCGAACGGGUGAGUAACACGUGAGUAACCUGCCCCUGACUCUGGAAUAACUUCGGGAAACCGAAGCUAAUACCGGAUAUGACACAGAGCCGCAUGGUUUCUGUGUGGAAAGUUUUUCGGUUGGGGAUGGACUCGCGGCCUAUCAGCUUGUUGGUGAGGUAAUGGCUCACCAAGGCGACGACGGGUAGCCGGCCUGAGAGGGCGACCGGCCACACUGGGACUGAGACACGGACCAGACUCCUACGGGAGGCAGCAAGUGAGGAAUAUUGGUCAAUGGGCGGAAGCCUGAACCAGCCAUGCCGCGUGCAGGAUGACGGCCCUACGGGUUGUAAACUGCUUUUCCCCGGGGCGAACUAACCCCUCGCGACGGGGAGUGGCCGGUACCGGGGAAGUAAGGAGUCGGCGUAACUCCGUCGCCAGCAGCCGCGGUAAAUACGACGUGUACG
This 520-nucleotide ribosomal RNA is filed under the name uncultured bacterium. RNAcentral's name for it is "bacterial SSU rRNA". It matches the Rfam family "Bacterial small subunit ribosomal RNA", at positions 28 to 536 of the family's 1533-position model. The record is from RNAcentral.